Ribosomal RNA from Ursus americanus (American black bear), 110 nucleotides. The record is from Ensembl. Lineage: Eukaryota; Metazoa; Chordata; Mammalia; Carnivora; Ursidae.
UGCCAUGGCCACACCACCCUGAACAUGCCCAAUCCUGUUGGAUCUCAGAAGCUUAGCAGGGCCUGGUUAGUACUUGGAUGGGAGACCUUAAUUUUAAUAAGGCAUUUUUU